CUGUACCUUUUUUUGUCUUUUAGGUUAAACUCUACAAUGAGAAGAGACAAGAUCUUGAAGAACAGCAGUUACAUUUAAACAUUGGACUCCAAAAAAUACAAGAAACUGUACAACAAGUAGAAAGAGUUACAAGCCAGCCUCCCUAUAAGAAAAAUGAGCUAAAACAAAAGAACAUGCUAGCUAACCAGAAACUGAAACAGAUGGUUCACAAUCAGCAAGAGGCCGAGAAAAAGAAGAUAACGUCAUAGGAGAUACAUGUACAUGUACAGGUUCAAACUCAUGAUAUUGCUCAAAAGAAGGACAUUGUAUUCAACAAUUUGUCCAAAGUGGAACCAGCAGUCAAAGAGGCUCAGCAAGCUGUGAAGGGAAUUAAGAAAUCCCACCUGGUUGAAGUGAGGGCUUUAAACAACCCCAUCAGGUCAUCAAGAUGGCACUGGAAAGCAUCUGCAUGCUAAUCAGAGAACCUUACACUGACUGGAAGAGUAUCAGACAGAUUAUAAUGAAGGAGAACUUUAUUCCUACCAUUGCUAACUUCUCUACUGAACACAUUACAGAUGACACUAGGAAUAAGAUGGAGAAUCACGCUAGUAAAGCUUGUGGGUUUUUGGUGAAGUGGGCCAUAGCUCAGGACGUUGAGAGCUACGACCCAAUCCUGAACCCUGUCCUAUUCUAGACGACAACAGAAUCAUUUCUGAGCUUGAGACUCUUAAGGAAGAGGCUCCAGAA
This is a long non-coding RNA of Amphimedon queenslandica, 726 nucleotides long. RefSeq lists it as uncharacterized. Lineage: Eukaryota; Metazoa; Porifera; Demospongiae; Haplosclerida; Niphatidae. The record is from RefSeq and is a predicted model, not a curated record. The transcript has 5 exons.